Molecule: ribosomal RNA, 459 nt
Filed under: uncultured bacterium
Lineage: Bacteria
Description: partial 16S ribosomal RNA
Rfam family: Bacterial small subunit ribosomal RNA
Source: RNAcentral
CCUACGGGUGGCUGCAGUGAGGAAUAUUGGUCAAUGGACGAGAGUCUGAACCAGCCAAGUAGCGUGAAGGAUGACUGCCCUAUGGGUUGUAAACUUCUUUUAUAUGGGAAUAAAACAGGGUAUGCAUACCCUCUUGUAUUUACCAUAUGAAUAAGGAUCGGCUAACUCCGUGCCAGCAGCCGCGGUAAUACGGAGGAUGCGAGCGUUAUCCGGAUUUACUGGGUUUAAAGGGUGCGCAGGCGGAAUGUCAAGUCAGCGGUAAAAUUUCGGGGCUAAACCCCGUCGUGCCGUUGAAACUGGCGUUCUUGAGUGAGCGAGAAGUAUGCGGAAUGCGUGGUGUAGCGGUGAAAUGCAUAGAUAUCACGCAGAACUCCGAUUGCGAAGGCAGCAUACCGGCGCUAAACUGACGCUCAUGCACGAAAGCGUGGGUAUCGAACAGGAUUAGAUACCCGUGUAGUC